Molecule: small RNA, 396 nt
Filed under: Pan troglodytes (chimpanzee)
Lineage: Eukaryota; Metazoa; Chordata; Mammalia; Primates; Hominidae
Description: retained intron
Source: RNAcentral
GCGGGGCUGGGAGGAUAGGCUUCUCAUCUCCUUCCCCAAGCGCCCACCGCCUCCCCGUGCGUCUUGCAGGAGACCUACAAAUUGCCGCACCGGCUCAUCGAGAAAAAGAGACGUGACCGGAUUAACGAGUGCAUCGCCCAGCUGAAGGAUCUCCUACCCGAACAUCUCAAACUUACAACUUUGGGUCACUUGGAAAAAGCAGUGGUUCUUGAACUUACCUUGAAGCAUGUGAAAGCACUAACAAACCUAAUUGAUCAGCAGCAGCAGAAAAUCAUUGCCCUGCAGAGUGGUUUACAAGCUGGUGAGUGCUGAUUCUGGCUAUCCUCUCUUUAAGAGUUUGAGUGCAAAUAGAGAGCCUGUGGGCUCAACAUCUGAUGCAAUAAACAUUACUGCAAC